UCCAACCCCAGUUAAAUCUAAAACCCUUUAACCUUCAACUUUCAAUAGUUCCGUGACAAGGCUGGGUUUAAAAACAAUGGUAAACACUUACCACUUGCCAAUCCAGCUUACAUUGUAAAUACAACUGUCUCCCAGCCAAUUGCAAGUCUCCGUCCAUUUAUUUCUCUUUUUGAUCAAGUAGUCAAUCACAUGCUAUAAUAUCCCUAUGGUGUUCUCGUUUCCUCAAUUUCAAAUUUUAGCUUCUCCAGUCCCUUCUUUACUAGAUUUAUGGAAGAACACCCAAAAAAUUUUGGCUAAAGUACUUAAUCCUCACUAUCUUGCAACGUUAUUAAGAUUAAAAUGCCUAAAUGAUAUGCACAAAAAGAG
Molecule: unclassified non-coding RNA, 366 nt
Filed under: Hevea brasiliensis (rubber tree)
Lineage: Eukaryota; Viridiplantae; Streptophyta; Magnoliopsida; Malpighiales; Euphorbiaceae
Source: RNAcentral